Molecule: ribosomal RNA, 445 nt
Filed under: uncultured bacterium
Lineage: Bacteria
Description: partial 16S ribosomal RNA
Rfam family: Bacterial small subunit ribosomal RNA
Source: RNAcentral
GUGAGGAAUAUUAGUCUAUGGGCGAGAGCCUGAACCAGCCAAGUCGCGUGAAGGAAGAAGGAUCUAUGGUUCGUAAACUUCUUUUGCAGGGGAAUAAAGUGCGGGACGUGUCCUGUUUUGUAUGUACCCUGAGAAUAAGGAUCGGCUAACUCCGUGCCAGCAGCCGCGGUAAUACGGAGGAUCCGAGCGUUAUCCGGAUUUAUUGGGUUUAAAGGGUGCGUAGGUGGUUUGAUAAGUCAGCGGUGAAAGUUUGCAGCUUAACUGUAAAAAUGCCGUUGAAACUGUCGGACUUGAGUGUAAAUGAGGUAGGCGGAAUGCGUGGUGUAGCGGUGAAAUGCAUAGAUAUCACGCAGAACUCCGAUUGCGAAGGCAGCUUACUAAGCUACAACUGACACUGAAGCACGAAAGCGUGGGGAUCAAACAGGAUUAGAAACCCCUGUAGUCC